RNAcentral lists this ribosomal RNA (117 nucleotides) under Amphilophus citrinellus (Midas cichlid). The record is from RNAcentral. Lineage: Eukaryota; Metazoa; Chordata; Actinopteri; Cichliformes; Cichlidae.
GACCGUAAUGUUGCCACUAUGCCAUUCAAGCUCAGGCGGAUCUUGGAAGCGAUGCAGGGUCGGCCCUGGUUAGUACUUCUAUGGGAGACCACCUGGGAAUACCAGGUGCUGUAAGCU